This 292-nucleotide ribosomal RNA is filed under the name uncultured bacterium. Its description in RNAcentral is "partial 16S ribosomal RNA". It matches the Rfam family "Bacterial small subunit ribosomal RNA", at positions 505 to 796 of the family's 1533-position model. The record is from RNAcentral.
GUGUCAGCAGCCGCGGUAAUACGUAGGAGACGAGCGUUGUCCGGAGUUACUGGGCGUAAAGGGUGCGCAGGCGGCCUGGCGCGUCGCGAGUGAAAUCUCCUGGCUCAACUGGGAGGGUGGUCGCGAGACGGCUGGGCUUGAGGCUCGGUGAGGGGCGUGGAAUUCCGGGUGGAGCGGUGAAAUGCGUAGAGAUCCGGAGGAACACCGACGGCGUAGGCAGCGCCCUAGACGAGACCUGACGCUCAGGCACGAAAGCGCGGGGAGCGAACAGGAUUAGAAACCCCUGUAGUCC